Lycium barbarum (goji berry) is the source of this 677-nucleotide long non-coding RNA. RefSeq lists it as uncharacterized. Lineage: Eukaryota; Viridiplantae; Streptophyta; Magnoliopsida; Solanales; Solanaceae. The transcript is spliced from 2 exons. The record is from RefSeq and is a predicted model, not a curated record.
CCCAUCUCCCUCACGUGGGAUUUGACUAAAAAUGAAAAGAACUUUCCCCUUUCUAUCGUUUUCCCACUGUCUUUCCAUGGUAGCAGCCUUGCUUCACCAUGUUGAUGAAAAUAACAGCCCUCACCACAUCGACAAAGCUGUCCCGUCCCUGCCAUUUUUUUGUUUGCUUCAACCCGUGACUCUUCUUUCUAGGAAAUUUUGAAUUUCAAAGUCUCAAGAACCCUAGAACUUUUCUCCUAUAAAUACACCUUAAGCAUUCAGCCAAAAAGGGACCUGGAACAUCAUUGAAAUCUUACCAUACACAACAUUUCAUCUUUUACUACUACUCUAAACUUUGGGAUCUUUCAAACUUUUCAUUCACUCGGAUCCGUUCAUGAUGAGAGAGUAGAUUCGAGGCCGUCGUCCCUAUUCACUGCACCAACAAAAGAGUUUCACUUUGAGACUCAACGACACCGCCAUUGCAAGGAGUCCGCACAUCCUCACUCUUCCUCGCCUUUGCACUGCUUGAACAACGAAUUACAUAAGAGAUUUUGUCCUUCUGUUGAAGCCGGACAUCAUUCAUUUCUGCUUGCUUUCACUUUACUUGCGUUGGAAUGACUUUUAUUUUUAAUUAUGUAUUUUCUGUUGGAAGAGGUAGAAUUGUUAUAUAAUGACUAACAACUGGAUUUAUUUGGUCA